RNAcentral lists this ribosomal RNA (440 nucleotides) under uncultured bacterium. RNAcentral describes it as "partial 16S ribosomal RNA". It matches the Rfam family "Bacterial small subunit ribosomal RNA", at positions 338 to 795 of the family's 1533-position model. The record is from RNAcentral.
CCUACGGGAGGCAGCAGUAGGGAAUAUUGCUCAAUGGGGGAAACCCUGAAGCAGCAACGCCGCGUGGAGGAUGAAGGUUUUCGGAUUGUAAACUCCUUUUGUUAGAGAAGAUAAUGACGGUAUCUAACGAAUAAGCACCGGCUAACUCCGUGCCAGCAGCCGCGGUAAUACGGAGGGUGCAAGCGUUACUCGGAAUCACUGGGCGUAAAGAGCGCGUAGGCGGGAUAGCAAGUCAGAUGUGAAAUCCUAUGGCUUAACCAUAGAACUGCAUUUGAAACUGGUAUUCUAGAGUAUGGGAGAGGUAGGUGGAAUUCUUGGUGUAGGGGUGAAAUGCGUAGAGAUCAAGAGGAAUACUCAUUGCGAAGGCGACCUGCUAGAACAUAACUGACGCUGAUGCGCGAAAGCGUGGGGAGCAAACAGGAUUAGAUACCCCGGUAGUC